Molecule: long non-coding RNA, 633 nt
Organism: Aquila chrysaetos chrysaetos
Lineage: Eukaryota; Metazoa; Chordata; Aves; Accipitriformes; Accipitridae
Exons: 5
Source: RefSeq, a predicted model, not a curated record
UCCCCCCUGUCCAGCUGAGGAGGGGGAGUGAUAGAACGGAUUUGGUGGGCACCUGGCGCCCAACCAGGGUCAACCUACCACAAUAAUGCAUGGAGCACUAGAAGUGGAGAUUUAACUCGGUAGUGUAUGGUUAAGAGGUAAAAUAUGAAGAGCCUAUGUUUUGUAAAUUCUUAAAUGCUCCUGUAUUCACGAGCGAUUCCAAUCCAAAAGCCUGAAGACUCCUGCACAGCAUGUAUUGUGUUAGCAAACACAUGGCUACUUAAGAAACAGAAGUACUGACAGAUGGAAGGACUUGCCAGAAAGACACUUCUAAGAACUCUUCCUUCAGCAACAUUGAAAUCUACUCACUAUUUUAUUUAACAUCCUUUCCUGGACCAGAGCAGCGAUGCAGUACAAGAGGUGUUACCUGGGACCUCCUUCACCAACCGAGAGUCAUAACAUUUCCACUGCAUCUUUACUUUUCUGCCACAGGUUUUCCUCUAAAUCAUGUAGCUGCAAUGAGAGAAUCAAGAAAUGAAUUGGUGCAGAAACUUCAUUUUUCAAGACACGCCUGCAAAGGAAAUGGUUACUGUUAAGGAAACAUCAUGAAAAGCAUUCUGUAUGUUCAACAGUUUCUUGAUAUAUCCCUCUCAG